AAGGACAUAGAUAUAUUUUUAUUUCAAAAAUCAAAAAAUAAGAAAUAAAUUAUUUAUAAAUAAUUCUAUGUCGAUCGUUACACGACUUCGGUUCAUGUUAUUGUUUUAAUUCAUCGAAAAAAAGUAAAUAAAUAGUAAAAAGGUAUGAAAAAAUAAUAUCAAUAUAAUUAAACUUUUAGUACAAAGAAAAUGCCCGAACGGAGUAUAAAUAAAUAAUCCAAGUUGUCUUUAUCCUCGAUAGAUGGCGUUGGGAUCGAAAUAGAUCGCGCUAUGGUUUCGUUACAUUCAUUUGGUUGGGUAUCGGCCGAGCGCUUCGGUACUAUCGUAGAAAAAGUGUAUUAUCAGUCGUAUGAUUAUUUGUCUGUAGUGGUCCUGCUGUUUCGUAUAUUCUAAAUUGGUUUCGUUGUAUUUGUCAAUUAAUAAGUUUAUUUGUUGGGUUUUCCUGGUUUUUUGGUUAAACUAUUUAACGUAGGUUUAGUUUGAUAUCGAUUAUUAGUAGUUACUGUAGUUAGUUUUUUUAAUAAAAUUGUAAGUCUAAUUUAUAAAUUAAUUAGAUUAGAUUUAAGUCGUUUCUUUUAAAUUAUUUAGUUUAAGCUUGGUUAUUAUAGCAUAGAGGAUAGGGCGUAAUAUAGUUUCUUUUUUAAUUGUUAUAAAUUCGUAAUUCGUAGCUUUCUUUAGUUUUAAGUUAGUUUAAGUCCGUUUUUAAACUAUUUUUUCAAUGCCCUAAGUGAGUAUACAUCUAUUAAAUUCAAACGCAGAGCUCAUUAUGUUGAUUUUUGAAGAGUUCCCUGGAAUAUCUUCCACAUCUCAUUUUUGAAGAGAUCCCGCGAGAUCGGGAACUAUGUGGUUAAAACCAAAAAUUUGCCGGAAGUCACUAUUCCACGCGAACGAAGUCGCGGGCAAAAGCUAGUUUAUAAAUAAUUCUAUGUCGAUCGUUACACGACUUCGGUUCAUGUUAUUGUUUUAAUUCAUCGAAAAAAAGUAAAUAAAUAGUAAAAAGGUAUGAAAAAAAUAAUAUCAAUAUAAUUAAACUUUUAGUACAAAGAAAAUGCCCGAACGGAGUAUAAAUAAAUAAUCCAAGUUGUCUUUAUCCUCGAUAGAUCGAAAUAGAUCGCGCUAUGGUUUCGUUACAUUCAUUUGGUUGGGUAUCGGCCGAGCGCUUCGGUACUAUCGUAGAAAAAGUGUAUUAUCAGUCGUAUGAUUAUUUGUCUGUAGUGGUCCUGCUGUUUCGUAUAUUCUAAAUUGGUUUCGUUGUAUUUGUCAAUUAAUAAGUUUAUUUGUUGGGUUUUCCUGGUUUUUUGGUUAAACUAUUUAACGUAGGUUUAGUUUGAUAUCGAUUGUUAGUAGUUACUGUAGUUAGUUUUUUUAAUAAAAUUGUAAGUCUUAUUUAUAAAUUAAUUAGAUUAGAUUUAAGUCGUUUCUUUUAAAUUAUUUAGUUUAAGCUUGGUUAUUAUAGCAUAGAGGAUAGGUUGUAAUAUAGUUUCUUUUUUAAUUGUUAUAAAUUCGUAAUUCGUAGCUUUCUUUAGUUUUAAGUUAGUUUAAGUCCGUUUUUAAACUAUUUUUUCAAUGCCCUAAGUGAGUAUACAUCUAUUAAAUUCAAACGCAGAGGUCAUUAUGUUGAUUUUUGAAGAGUUCCCUGGAAUAUCUUCCACAUCUCAUUUUUGAAGAGAUCCCGCGAGAUCGGGAACUAUGUGGUUAAAACCAAAAAUUUGCCGGAAGUCACUAUUCCACGCGAACGAAGUCGCGGGCAAAAGCUAGUUCAAAAUA
Spodoptera frugiperda (fall armyworm) is the source of this 1767-nucleotide long non-coding RNA. RefSeq lists it as uncharacterized. NCBI's taxonomy places the organism in Eukaryota, Metazoa, Arthropoda, Insecta, Lepidoptera, Noctuidae. The transcript is spliced from 3 exons. The record is from RefSeq and is a predicted model, not a curated record.